AUGUCUUGCCGGAGGCUCUCUGGGGCCACGUCGUCGGGUUCUGACCCCGCGUCCCCCUUCCAGGCGCCGCUCUUCGUCCUCCUCCUCCUCGCCCUCCUCCUCCUCGUCCUCCAGCUCCCGCUCCUAUUCCCCGGACCGAGGUUAUCGCUACAGCUCCCGACGCCGCUCCCGGUGCGUCCCCGCCGUGGGGUUUUCCGUUUCGGGGAUGGGGUGGUUAGGUCAGAACAACUGAAUUCCCCCCAAAUUGCAGCUGUAGGGACCCCAGACUGUCUCCAUUGUCCCCAGAGGGGAUUAUGGAUAUUCCCCCCCCCCAUUUGCCCCAGGUUGCAGCUGUCUGGACCCCAGAGUGCCGCUCUGUGCCCCAAAUUCCCCAUUAUUUGCCCCAGAUUGCAGCCCCAGAGCCCUUCAGCGUCCCCAUGUGCCCCAGAGUCUCCUGGGUCUGAACAGACAGCCCCAGAAGCCCCAAAUUCCCCAAGAUUUGCCCCAAGUCAUCCCUAUGGGCCCCAGUACAGCCCUGUGUGCCCCAAAUCCUACUUACUUGCCCCAAAUUCCCCUUUUUUGCCCCCCAAAUUUCCCCCAUGGCCCCAGUGGCAGUCCCAAGCCUCCCUUAUUUGCCCCAAAUCCCACUUAAUUUGCCUCAAAAUGUCCCCCUGGACUGGUUGGGUCAACUGCAAAGAUUGGGUUGGGUCGACUGGGAAGAACUCACGUUAGGACAAGACCCCAGUUGGACAACUGGGAAGAACCCGCCUUGGGACAAGACCCCAGUUAGUCAACUGGGAAGACCCCCAUUUGGAAAAGACGCCACAGUUGGUCAACUGGGAAGACCCCACACUGGUACAAGAUCCCAGUUGGUCAAUGGGGAUAAUCCCAUGCUGGGGGAAGAUCGCAGUUGGUCAACUGGGAAGACCCUGUGUUGGGUCAACUGAGAAAGACCCCAUGUUGGGACAAGACUCCAGUUGGUCAACUGGGAUGACCCUGUAUUGGGGCAAGACCCCAGUUGGUUAACUGGGAUAAUCCCAUGCUGGGGGAAGAUCGCAGUUGAUCAACUGGGAAGACCCUGUGUUGGGUCAACUGGGAAGACCCUGUGGUGGGACAAGACCCCAGUUGGUCAACUGGGAUGACCCUGCAUUGGGGCAAAACCCCAGUUGGUCAACUGGGAUAAUCCGAUGCUGGGGGAAGAUCGCAGAUGGUCAACUGGGAAAGACCGCACACUGGUACAAGACCCCAGUUGGUCAACUGGGAAGACCCCAUGUUGGGACAAGACCCCAGUUGGUCAACUGGGAAGACCCCACACUAGGACAAGACCCCAGUUGGUCAACUGGGAAGACCCCACACUAGGACAAGACCCCA
Molecule: long non-coding RNA, 1350 nt
Filed under: Numida meleagris (helmeted guineafowl)
Lineage: Eukaryota; Metazoa; Chordata; Aves; Galliformes; Numididae
Description: lncRNA (ENSNMEG00000003032.1)
Source: RNAcentral